This 697-nucleotide long non-coding RNA is filed under the name Mytilus galloprovincialis (Mediterranean mussel). Lineage: Eukaryota; Metazoa; Mollusca; Bivalvia; Mytilida; Mytilidae. The record is from RNAcentral.
UAGUAGUGUUGGAGAACGUUGGCGUCACUUCUAUCAAACAGGCCCUUUAACAAUCUCAGAGUAGAAUGAUCUUGUUACUAUUGUAUAGCGUUACGAGAACUAUGUGCUACCCUCCCUGGUCUAGUACAACGGAGUCUAUUCAAGGUCUAUGACUGUAACAUCCCCCUGCAUCAUCUGCAAAAAUCAAAAUUAUACAUUAAACAUUUGUGGCAGAACACUGAAAUGAAAUAUAAACAUUUAUACAACAUUACACAAACAAAAACGUAAACGUAAAAUGGAUCAACCAUCCUUAUUUUUUAUUCUUUGAAGUAACUUUUAAACCUUUUUUGAUAAUAUCUCAAUAUUUGUAUCUGCAUUUCAUGCAGCUGUUGUUCAGUGGUUGCUGUUUGUUGGUGUGGUUCAUAAGUGUUUCUCAUUUUUUAUAUAGAUUAGACUGUUGGUUUUCCAGUUAUAAUUGUUUUACACUAGUCAUUUUGGGAUCCUUUAUAGCUUGUUGUUUGUUGUGUGUCAAGGCUAUGUGCUGAAGACUGUUCUUUGGCCUAUAAUUGUUAACAUUUUAUACGUUGUGACUUAGAUUGAGAGUUGUCUUAUUGGAAUUCAUACCCCAUCUUUUUAUGCCCCACCUACGAUAGUAGAGGGGCAUUAUGUUUUCUGGUCUGUGCGUCCGUCCGUCUGUCCGUUCGUUCGUCCGUCCGUC